UUUUUAAGUUACGCAUCGGUUCAAUCUCAGUAUAUUAGGGCUUUUUCUUAUUCUUCUUCGACUCUUUACCUUUACCGUGUGCGUUCAGUUUCUCUGCAAGUUUCAAAAUUUAUUCUUCAAACUCUUAAUCUUCCCAUAAUUUAACUCAGAAGCCAUGUUGACCACUAUGUUUCCUUAAAAUCAAACCUAUAAAAUGGAGAGGAUUGAGGGUUGAUUGAUACCAUUUCACUCUAUAAAGUCUAUUCACAACUUGACUCGAAUCACUUCUGCAGCUGAUUCUUUUGUUAGCCGCAGCCAUGGUGAAGUACUCUGAAGAACCUGUAACCAGACCAAGUGUAGUGCAAAGCUCCUUCUCAGUACCAUUUCUCACUCUUUUGUAUUCAAUUUUGUUGAUUAUUUUUAAGUUUGAUUUUUUCAGUUUCCAAGGCUAGAUGAUCCGAUCUUAGGGUUCACGUCAAGUUCAUGACGUAACGUUUGAUGAUCUCCGCCUUGAUCGGUAUCUCAGGUGGUUGUUGGCCGGCUCCUUUGUUUCUGUGAUUUAGGAAACAUCACGAAGAAUGGAAAGUUCAUGGGUAUUACCCUCAUGCUUCUAGAUGAAAAGGUCAGAACAUCAUCACCCUCACAUAAUCGUUUUAUUAGUUUAGCCUUUCUCAACGUAGUUAACGGUUAACAGUUCUAUUCAUAUCUCUGCCUUUAAGCCAUGACUCAACAGAAACUCUUGCAGCGCAAGUAACUUCUUCCCCAAUUUUGCUUUGACCCGUCCAUUCUGCUGUGCAAUUCUUUUAGCACAAAAUUUGUUGGUGCAGUUACGGACGUUUUCCACGUGUUGGAGAGAUUGAAAAGAAAGAACUUUCCUCUAUUGGAGAUCUUCACACAUAUCUCUCCAAGUCAACCGACAAGACCCCGCUAAUUUACUGUGUAGAGCUCCGAACGGUAUACUCCAGCCAAAUGGAUGGUCUUAUGUGUCUGCACCAGCAAUGCAACAAAUGUGUAUCACCCAACGUGACCUCUGUUAUGAGGGUCAGCUUACACAUGCUUAUUCUCUCUGUAACACAUUCCACUUUCACACACAAAUCCAACUCAUCAAAUUGCUUCUUGGGUACCGGUUGAGCUAGCUGUCUAUGGCGAAGACAUUGCUAUUUUAUGGUGUUUAACACUCAGAUGACAAAACUCACCAAGGUGGAUCACUAGCUGUCGUUGUGAUGCGGUAAAAAGCACGAGAUCACAUUUCUUAUCAGAUAAGUUUCAGUUUUUAGAAGCAACUUUGCUCUAUGAAGCCUUUGACAUAAAUUAUUUUCUUUCGCUGCAUCUUCAUAGAGGAAAGAUUUUAUUGUAUCAUCAGAAAAUAAUGUCAAUCCUGUCUUAUUCACAAUUAAUAAGUGUAAAGGUUGCUUCAUCCUAUUAGUGUCCCUAAACAUCCAUAUUAAGUUGUGUUUAAGUUUCUCAGGGACCUGCUUCUAUUGGUGUUCGGCUUUACCAGAGAAAAAGAGAUGAAUAGAAUUUCUUGAGAACUCGGAAGUGCAUUCUUGAGAACUCGCAUCACAAAGCUCUACACAUUACCACUAAAGGUUUCAAAAGCAGUGAGAUUCUUCAGGUGGAGGGUUGGUUUGGACGCAGAUUGGGAGUUGCAGUGGCUAUGGCCUUUACAUGGAUUGAGACUAUGGCUGGAAUUCAGAAGAAAAAAGGUGUUGAUUGCAGAUCUUCACACCUACAUAUCCAAGUCCAGUGACAAUGUGUAUAAUUUUGUAUUACUACCAAGCUAUUUAAAUAAAAAUGUCCCUACUAAUAUUUC
This is a long non-coding RNA of Raphanus sativus (radish), 1792 nucleotides long. RefSeq lists it as uncharacterized. The record is from RefSeq and is a predicted model, not a curated record. Lineage: Eukaryota; Viridiplantae; Streptophyta; Magnoliopsida; Brassicales; Brassicaceae. The transcript has 5 exons.